UCUAGAGUUUUUAGCCACCACUUGUUGAAGCUGUGUAAGCUCCACCCCUCUCUGGUUGUGGACCAAUCACGGGAGCUGCUGGAGUUUGCUGGAACCACCACUAACAUCAACAGCAAAGAAGACCUGUACACACAUGUGGUGUGGGUGCUAGGUGAGUACCUGUCGGUGUCAUUUGACUCUCGGUGUUCCGUGGAUCUGGUUACUUCCUGUUUCGAGGCAUUGGAGGCAGUCCUCUUCGAGAUCACUUCCUCUGGAAGCCCCUCCCCCAGGGUGGUUACCUCCUUACUGAGCGCGCUCGCUAAAUUGGCUUCCCGUUCCCACGACCUCAUACCCAGGGUUUCUCUGUUCCUCUCUAAGCUUCGUAGCGGAGCAGUCUCCUGGUGUGGCAGCGAGGAGGAUGUUGUCGCCGUAGUGACCAGAGGGGAGGAGUUAUGGUCGCUGCUGAAACUUCCGAGCGUGGCGCUGAGUGUCCUGACCCCGCCUCCCCUCGCCACUUCCCCCCGCUGGCACCGAGACGCCAACGCAUCGCUGCCUCCUCGACUCAGAACGCUGACUGGCCUCACACACACACACGCUAAAAUAUAAUCACAGCUUCACAUAGACCUUAAAUUAUCACCUCGACUCAGAACGCUGACUGGCCUCACACACACACACGCUAAAAUAUAAUCACAGCUUCACAUAGACCUUAAAUGAUCACCUCGACUCAGAACGCUGACUGGCCUCACACACACACACGCUAAAAUAUAAUCACAGCUUCACAUAGACCUUAAAUGAUCACCUCGACUCAGAACGCUGACUGGCCUCACACACACACACGCUAAAAUAUAAUCACAGCUUCACAUAGACCUUAAAUGAUCACCUCGACUCAGAACGCUGACUGGCCUCACACACACACACGCUAAAAUAUAAUCACAGCUUCACAUAGACCUUAAAUUAUCACCUCGACUCAGAACGCUGACUGGCCUCACACACACACACACACACACACACACGCUAAAAUAUAAUCACAGCUUCACAUAGACCUUAAAUGAUCACCUCGACUCAGAACGCUGACUGGCCUCACACACACACACGCUAAAAUAUAAUCACAGCUUCACAUAGACCUUAAAUUAUCACCUCGACUCAGAACGCUGACUGGCCUCACACACACACACGCUAAAAUAUAAUCACAGCUUCACAUAGACCUUAAAUUAUCACCUCGACUCAGAACGCUGACUGGCCUCACACACACACACGCUAAAAUAUAAUCACAACUUCACAUAGACCUUAAAUUAUCACCUCGACUCAGAACGCUGACUGGCCUCACACACACACACGCUAAAAUAUAAUCACAGCUUCACAUAGACCUUAAAUAAAUUUUGUACUUGUAGAUUACCAAAAGUAUUAGGGACAGUGACACAUUUUUUGUUGUUGUGUACAAAAUCAUCUGAAACACAACCAAAACAAACAGCAAAUACAUCCAACAGGUUUGUAGAGUCACAAAGCUUGAUGUAGUUAUUGAGUGCUAUGAAUUAUGGGACCAAAUACUACACUUUUGACUUUUGGUCCCCUAAAAUGGGGGGGAACUAUGUACAAAAAAUGCUGUAAUUUCUAAAUGUUUCACCUGAUAUGGAUGGGAAUAGCCUCAAAUUAAAGCUGUCUGCACUUUAA
Long non-coding RNA from Salvelinus fontinalis (brook trout), 1650 nucleotides. RefSeq lists it as uncharacterized. The record is from RefSeq and is a predicted model, not a curated record. Lineage: Eukaryota; Metazoa; Chordata; Actinopteri; Salmoniformes; Salmonidae. The transcript is spliced from 3 exons.